CCUCCUUAUACGAUUUAGAACUUAUUUGUUCGUAGUGUCCACACAGAUGAUUGUUAGUUAGUUUUAACCUUAGGGUUUAACUGAUUAAUAUGCUCUUUAAAAAUUUGGAAAAGCUGAUAAUAAAAUUCUGAUAGAUACUUUGUAUUUAUCAAGAGUUUUCAAAAGUAAAAAAAGAAUGAUAGCAGUAUCAUUCAUGUGCCAAUUUAAUCAUUUAUGAUUAAUUGGUAUCUACUUUAGUAUUCAAUAUUAACUUCUGGCGAAGUUAAACUGUCACUAACAAAGACCCGUUUGGUUUGUAUGGUUAAGUGACUUAANCGUACACGGUUGAAUGCCUUGGUUAAAAAGUCUGAAUUCCCACCUAUACUUGGCCGGCCGUUUUACUAAGUGGGAUCCCCGAUCUCCGGGUUCCCAAAACUUUGGGCGUUAAUCCAUGGAGCAAUAAGCUGGUUUCCCCUGGAGGCGAAAAAAUAGUUAAUCCAACAUCCCCAUUUUCCAC
Molecule: unclassified non-coding RNA, 496 nt
Filed under: uncultured Pseudoalteromonas sp.
Lineage: Bacteria; Pseudomonadati; Pseudomonadota; Gammaproteobacteria; Alteromonadales; Pseudoalteromonadaceae
Description: partial 16S-23S ribosomal RNA intergenic spacer
Source: RNAcentral